This 663-nucleotide ribosomal RNA is filed under the name uncultured bacterium. Its description in RNAcentral is "bacterial SSU rRNA". It matches the Rfam family "Bacterial small subunit ribosomal RNA", at positions 8 to 689 of the family's 1533-position model. The record is from RNAcentral.
AGGGUUUGAUCAUGGCUCAGGACGAACGCUGGCGGCAUGCCUAACACAUGCAAGUCGAACGAGAAAGUUCCUUCGGGAGCAAUUAAAGUGGCGCACGGGUGAGUAACGCGUAGACAAUCUGCCCUUCAGUCUGGGACAACUUUUCGAAAGGAGAGCUAAUACCGGAUAACAAUACAUGACACAAGUUGUAUAUUUGAAAGCUUUAUGUGCUGAAGGAGGGGUCUGCGUCCCAUUAGCUAGUUGGUAAGGUAAAGGCUUACCAAGGCAACGAUGGGUAGCGGGUUUGAGAGGACGAUCCGCCACACUGGAACUGAGACACGGUCCAGACUCCUACGGGAGGCAGCAGUGGGGAAUAUUGCACAAUGGAGGAAACUCUGAUGCAGCAAUGUCGCGUGAGUGAAGAAGGCCCUUGGGUCGUAAAGCUCUUUUAUGGGGGAAGAUGAUGACGGUACCCCAAGAAUAAGCACCGGCUAACUAUGUGCCAGCAGCCGCGGUAAUACAUAGGGUGCGAGCGUUGUUCGGAAUUACUGGGCGUAAAGGGCGCGCAGGCGGAAUAGUAAGUCGGAGGUGAAAGCCCGGGGCUCAACCCCGGAGGGUCUUUCGAAACUACUAAUCUAGAGAGGGUCAGGGGCCGGCAGAAUUCCUGGUGUAGAGGUGAAAUUC